UUCAGAAUGUCUUGAGUGAAAAAGAUACUAAAGAAGCUCGUACAACAGUUGUGUCAAAGAGGGAGGAGCGAUACAUGUCCUAAUCAAGCUGUAUUUCAAAAGGAAAAAUGAGGUCUCAGUUGUCUGGUAAGAAUCUGAACAAGACAGGAGUACGCUGGCUUACAUUUGCUCUAGCUUGGUGAGCUCCGGCUGAAGAAAAGAAUCCAACACCUGCUGAUAUCUGCUUAUGAGGGCAAGAUCUCUAAAUCAACUAACGGUCAUAUCCUUGGCAACUCUUCGCAAACACCCUCUUCAUCUCCAGUUCUUGCCUAUCUUCAUGCCCGGCACAUGUCAGCAACCAUCCGACCAGCAACUCUUGUCUCAAAUAUAUUUGAAACAGCAAAAUUAAAAACUUUUUCCAAGGCAACCUAAGUGGAAUACAGAAGAGAAAAAUAAUUUAUCUCAUCAACCAUCUUUUGAACAGAGCAAUGCAUUGCAAUACUGCACAUAUGAAUGGAGUUGAUGCAUGUGUGCAGCAA
Molecule: long non-coding RNA, 518 nt
Organism: Mauremys reevesii (Reeves's turtle)
Lineage: Eukaryota; Metazoa; Chordata; Testudines; Geoemydidae
Exons: 5
Source: RefSeq, a predicted model, not a curated record